This 466-nucleotide ribosomal RNA is filed under the name Vreelandella stevensii. RNAcentral describes it as "partial 16S ribosomal RNA". It matches the Rfam family "Bacterial small subunit ribosomal RNA", at positions 338 to 795 of the family's 1533-position model. The record is from RNAcentral. Lineage: Bacteria; Pseudomonadati; Pseudomonadota; Gammaproteobacteria; Oceanospirillales; Halomonadaceae.
CCUACGGGGAGCUGCAGUGGGGAAUAUUGGACAAUGGGCGAAAGCCUGAUCCAGCCAUGCCGCGUGUGUGAAGAAGGCCUUCGGGUUGUAAAGCACUUUCAGUGGGGAAGAAAGCCUUGGGGCUAAUACCCUCGAGGAAGGACAUCACCCACAGAAGAAGCACCGGCUAACUCCGUGCCAGCAGCCGCGGUAAUACGGAGGGUGCGAGCGUUAAUCGGAAUUACUGGGCGUAAAGCGCGCGUAGGCGGUCUGAUAAGCCGGUUGUGAAAGCCCCGGGCUCAACCUGGGAACGGCAUCCGGAACUGUCAGGCUAGAGUGCAGGAGAGGAAGGUAGAAUUCCCGGUGUAGCGGUGAAAUGCGUAGAGAUCGGGAGGAAUACCAGUGGCGAAGGCGGCCUUCUGGACUGACACUGACGCUGAGGUGCGAAAGCGUGGGUAGCAAACAGGAUUAGAAUACCCGGGUAGUC